UACCGAGGUCUCAAGCGUUGUUCGGAUUCAUUGGGCGUAAAGGGUGCGUAGGUGGCGGGGUAAGUCAGGUGUGAAAUCUCGAGGCUCAACCUCGAAACUGCACUUGAUACUGCCUUGCUCGAGUACUGGAGAGGAGAUUGGAAUUUACGGUGUAGCAGUGAAAUGCGUAGAUAUCGUAAGGAAGACCAGUGGCGAAGGCGAAUCUCUGGACAGUUACUGACACUGAGGCACGAAGGCCAGGGGAGCAAACGGG
This 253-nucleotide ribosomal RNA is filed under the name uncultured bacterium. RNAcentral describes it as "partial 16S ribosomal RNA". It matches the Rfam family "Bacterial small subunit ribosomal RNA", at positions 524 to 776 of the family's 1533-position model. The record is from RNAcentral.